This 497-nucleotide ribosomal RNA is filed under the name uncultured bacterium. RNAcentral describes it as "partial 16S ribosomal RNA". It matches the Rfam family "Bacterial small subunit ribosomal RNA", at positions 28 to 507 of the family's 1533-position model. The record is from RNAcentral.
GAUGAACGCUGGCGGCGUGCCUAAUACAUGCAAGUCGAGCGAACGGACGAGAAGCUUGCUUCUCUGAUGUUAGCGGCGGACGGGUGAGUAACACGUGGAUAACCUACCUAUAAGACUGGGAUAACUUCGGGAAACCGGAGUUAAUACCGGAUGAUAUUUUGAACCGCAUGGUUCAAAAGUGAAAGACGGUCUUGCUGUCACCUAUAGAUGGAUCCGCGCUGCAUUAGCUAGUUGGUAAGGUAACGGCUUACCAAGGCAACGAUGCAUAGCCGACCUGAGAGGGUGAUCGGCCACACUGGAACUGAGACACGGUCCAGACUCCUACGAGAGGCAGCAGUAGGGAAUCUUCCGCAAUGGGCGAAAGCCUGACGGAGCAACGCCGCGUGAGUGAUGAAGGUCUUCGGAUCGUAAAACUCUGUUAUUAGGGAAGAACAUAUGUGUAAGUAACUGUGCACAUCUUGACGGUACCUAAUCAGAAAGCCACGGCUAACUACGUG